UUGUCUUCCUUAUUCUGUACCACAGGUUAGUACAAAGUAGAGAUAAUUUAUAUUUUAACAAUUGUAAAAAGUUUAGAAAGUUGCUAGAGUAAACAGCUAACUGCUAAAUGUUUGUUACAAAAUGUGUUGUAGAGCAUUUGAACAUUAGCGAAAUGGCUAAUGGCUAAUGCUAGCCAGCUUUAAUGUACAGUUAAUAGCAUGAAGCAGGCUAACUAAAAAAUGUGAAAUGUGUCAAAUUGGUCAUUGUUGAUGUAAUAAUUUUAUGAUAUCUGAAGUGUUGUUAUUUUUGAGAGGAAGAAUAAAUCCUGAGGGUGAAAAAACAUCAAGUCAUCGUGGAUUGUCUUCCUUAUUCUGUACCACAGGUUAGUACAAAGUAGAGAUAAUUUAUAUUUUAACAAUUGUAAAGAGUUUAGAAAGUUGCUACAGUAAACAGCUAACUGCUAAAUGUUUGUUACAAAAUAUGUUGUAGAGCAUUUGAACAUAAGCAAAAUGGCUAAUGCUAGCCAGCUUUAAUGUACAGUUAAUAGCAUGAAGCAGGCUAACUAAAAAAUGUCAAAUGUGUCAAAUUGGUAAUUGUUAAUGUAAUAAUUUUAUGAUAUCUGAAGUGUUGUUAUUUUUGAGAGGAAGAAUAAAUCCUGAGGGUGAAAAAACGUCAAGUCAUCGUGGAUUGUCUUCCUUAUUCUGUACCACAGGCUAGUACAAAGUAGAGAUAAUUUAUAUUUUAACAAUUGUAAAGAGUUUAGAAAGUUGCUAGAGUAAACAGCUAACUGCUAAAUGUUUGUUACAAAAUGUGUUGUAGAGCAUUUGAACAUUAACAAAAUGGCUAAUGCUAAUGCUAGCCAGCUUUAAUGUACAGUUAAUAGCAUGAAGCAGGCUAACUAAAAAAUGUGAAAUGUGUCAAAUUGUUAAUUGUUAAUGUAAUCAUUUUAUGAUAUCUGAAGUGUUGUUAUUUUUGAGAGGAAGAAUAAAUCCUGAGGGUGAAAAAACGUCAAGUCAUCGUGGAUUGUCUUCCUUAUUCUGUACCACAGGUUAGUACAAAGUAGAGAUAAUUUAUAUUUUAACAAUUGUAAAGAGUUUAGAAAGUUGCUAGAGUAAACAGCUAACUGCUAAAUGUUUGUUACAAAAUGUGUUGUAGAGCAUUUGAACAUUAGCGAAAUGGCUAAUGCUAGCCAGCUUUAAUGUACAGUUAAUAGCAUGAAGCAGGCUAACUAAAAAAUGUGAAAUGUGUCAAAUUGUUAAUUGUUAAUGUAAUCAUCUUAUGAUAUCUGAAGUGUUGUUAUUUUUGAGAGGAAGAAUAAAUCCUGAGGGUGAAAAAACGUCAAGUCAUCAUGGAUUGUCUUCCUUAUUCUGUACCACAGGAUUUUCAAGGCAUACAACCCCUCCAGGUGGUGGAGGAGCAACAAUAACAAUGAUGACUAUGCGGCAAAGCGGCCAACACGCAGCACUACUGUAGCUGAGCACGAGUUCUGCUGCUAUUUUCGGGCCGGGUUCUACAAUGUGACAUUGAAGUGGCUCAAUUGAAGCAGCGAUACUGUGACUGUGGGAGGCGUGUGGAGGUGGAUGAAUCACUCUGCAAAGAGCUGGGCAGGUGAUACAGGCAAUACGGGCGAUACAGGUGAUAUCAACAAGCAUUGGGGCUUACGUGAGCGAGACGGUGAAGUGGAAGCGUUGACGGAGGCCCUUGAAGCACUUAUCUGGCUGAAAGACGCAAGGUGAGCGCUUUGAUGGAAUCCAAUACAACACUUGAUUCCAACACAAGGAAUAAAGGCGCAUGAGGGGCCGUGGCUGGCAGGAUGACAGCUUCCACACCCCACUAAUGGGUGAAUACAGCUUCAAACUGCUUUCACUGGAAGAAAAAAAAAAAAUCUGCCCACUUUCACCCACUCACACAUUCAUUUCGCGCUUUGGCCCUCCUCCCUCCUGUUGAAAGCACCCACAGUUCAGCUCCGGCACCCACAGUUGUGCACGAGAACAUGUGAGUGCCACUCAACCUGGUGAUAGAGCCCCGCCCACACACACACGGAUGCUAUGUCAGGUGAUGGAAAAUUAAACCUCAUUUAUUUCAUUAGGGACGUCCGUAAUAUGAGCUGACCAAUAUUUUCGGUCGACAUCGGCAUAAAAAUUU
Non-coding RNA from Doryrhamphus excisus (bluestripe pipefish), 2125 nucleotides. NCBI's taxonomy places the organism in Eukaryota, Metazoa, Chordata, Actinopteri, Syngnathiformes, Syngnathidae. The record is from RefSeq and is a predicted model, not a curated record.